CCCAGGCAUGGUGGUGCAUACCUGUAAUCCCAAAAUCUAGGAGGCUGAGUCAGGAGGAUGGGAGUUCAAAGCUAGCCUCAGCAACUUAGCAAGGUCCUAAGCAACUCAGUGAGAUCCUGUCUCUA
This 125-nucleotide small RNA is filed under the name Marmota monax (woodchuck). Lineage: Eukaryota; Metazoa; Chordata; Mammalia; Rodentia; Sciuridae. The record is from RNAcentral.